AGAAAAUCGGGAGUUUCUGAGUGCUGCAAAAGGCAGCAAGAAAUACACCUGGCAAAUGUAGACCAGCCUCCAUGAGGUUGCCUUCAUACUCCUCUCUGCGGAAUCUCUUAUCAUCUUCAUGAUAGUCCAUGACUCUGUUUAAGAAAAUGGCUGGAAUAAAUGCAUCGAAGUUUGAAACCUCAGUUGUUCCCAACACACACUGAAAUACAACAGAGAAGAGCAUAUUGUUCUGCCAACCUUUGCAUGAAUAUAAGGAUUAGAGUCUCUCAUGUCAAACAAAGAAUUAGUUUCAUUGCCAUGUAAGAAAUAUGGGUCCAAUUUCUACAGUGGCAAUGCUGGAGAAUUUAAAAAUCAUUCAGCGAUUGGCAGUAAAAAUAAACAUCAUUUUUACCUGUGUGAAAUAAUUGUUUAAAAAUCAUAUUAUAGGUCCUUUCCAAAAGGGGCUUUGGUAUUGCAAAUUUGUUACUAGAAUCCUUAAAAUUAUGGCACCAUGUUUACUAUUAUUUAUUGUAUUACAGUAGUAUUCAGAGUCUGGUCAUGGCCCCAUCAUACUA
This is a non-coding RNA of Chelonoidis abingdonii (Abingdon island giant tortoise), 554 nucleotides long. Lineage: Eukaryota; Metazoa; Chordata; Testudines; Testudinidae. The record is from RefSeq and is a predicted model, not a curated record.